AGGCGGUCUGUUAUGUCGGAUGUGAAAGCCCUUGGCUCAACUGAGGAAGUGCAUCCGAAACUGGCAGGCUGGAGUACGUAAGAGGGUCGCGGAAUUCCCGGUGUAGAGGUGAAAUUCGUAGAUAUCGGGAGGAACACCGGUGGCGAAGGCGGCGACCUGGGACGAUACUGACGCUGAGGUGCGAAAGCGUGGGGAGCAAACA
RNAcentral lists this ribosomal RNA (202 nucleotides) under uncultured bacterium. RNAcentral describes it as "partial 16S ribosomal RNA". It matches the Rfam family "Bacterial small subunit ribosomal RNA", at positions 573 to 774 of the family's 1533-position model. The record is from RNAcentral.